AACGGGGAUGUUAGCUUGCUAAUAUCUGCCGGCGACCGGCGCACGGGUGAGUAACGCGUAUGCGACCUGCCCGUCACAGGGGGAUAAUCCGGAGAAAUCCGGUCUAAUACCGCAUAAUAUCGUGAAUCUGCAUGGAUUUGCGAUUAAAGGAGCGAUCCGGUGACGGAUGGGCAUGCGUGACAUUAGCUAGUCGGCGGGGUAACGGCCCACCGAGGCGACGAUGUCUAGGGGUUCUGAGAGGAAGGUCCCCCACACUGGUACUGAGACACGGACCAGACUCCUACGGGAGGCAGCAGUGAGGAAUAUUGGUCAAUGGGCUUACGCCUGAACCAACCAAGUCGCGUGAGGGAAGACUGCCCUAUGGGUUGUAAACCUCUUUUGUCAGGGAGCAACGCCGGCUACGUGUAGCCGGACUGAGAGUACCUGAAGAAAAAGCAUCGGCUAACUCCGUGCCAGCAGCCGCGGUAAUACGGAGGAUGCGAGCGUUAUCCGGAUUUAUUGGGUUUAAAGGGUGCGUAGGCGGAAUGCCAAGUCAGCGGUAAAAUCGCGGGGCUCAACCUCGCUCCGCCGUUGAAACUGGCGUUCUUGAGUGGGCGAGAAGUAUGCGGAGUGCGUGGUGUAGCGGUGAAAUGCAUAGAUAUCACGCAGAACUCCGAUUGCGAAGGCAGCAUACCGGCGCCCAACUGACGCUGAAGCACGAAAGCGUGGGUAUCGAACA
Molecule: ribosomal RNA, 718 nt
Filed under: uncultured bacterium
Lineage: Bacteria
Description: bacterial SSU rRNA
Rfam family: Bacterial small subunit ribosomal RNA
Source: RNAcentral